GGGACACGUGGUAUCCUGUCUGAAUAUGGGGGGACCAUCCUCCAAGGCUAAAUACUCCUGACUGACCGAUAGUGAACCAGUACCGUGAGGGAAAGGCGAAAAGAACCCCGGCGAGGGGAGUGAAAAAGAACCUGAAACCGUGUACGUACAAGCAGUGGGAGCACGCUUAGGCGUGUGACUGCGUACCUUUUGUAUAAUGGGUCAGCGACUUAUAUUCUGUAGCAAGGUUAACCGAAUAGGGGAGCCGAAGGGAAACCGAGUCUUAACUGGGCGUUAAGUUGCAGGGUAUAGACCCGAAACCCGGUGAUCUAGCCAUGGGCAGGUUGAAGGUUGGGUAACACUAACUGGAGGACCGAACCGACUAAUGUUGAAAAAUUAGCGGAUGACUUGUGGCUGGGGGUGAAAGGCCAAUCAAACCGGGAGAUAGCUGGUUCUCCCCGAAAGCUAUUUAGGUAGCGCCUCGUGAAUUCAUCUCCGGGGGUAGAGCACUGUUUCGGCAAGGGGGUCAUCCCGACUUACCAACCCGAUGCAAACUGCGAAUACCGGAGAAUGUUAUCACGGGAGACACACGGCGGGUGCUAACGUCCGUCGUGAAGAGGGAAACAACCCAGACCGCCAGCUAAGGUCCCAAAGUCAUGGUUAAGUGGGAAACGAUGUGGGAAGGCCCAGACAGCCAGGAUGUUGGCUUAGAAGCAGCCAUCAUUUAAAGAAAGCGUAAUAGCUCACUGGUCGAGUCGGCCUGCGCGGAAGAUGUAACGGGGCUAAACCAUGCACCGAAGCUGCGGCAGCGACGCUUAUGCGUUGUUGGGUAGGGGAGCGUUCUGUAAGCCUGUGAAGGUGUGCUGUGAGGCAUGCUGGAGGUAUCAGAAGUGCGAAUGCUGACAUAAGUAACGAUAAAGCGGGUGAAAAGCCCGCUCGCCGGAAGACCAAGGGUUCCUGUCCAACGUUAAUCGGGGCAGGGUGAGUCGACCCCUAAGGCGAGGCCGAAAGGCGUAGUCGAUGGGAAACAGGUUAAUAUUCCUGUACUUGGUGUUACUGCGAAGGGGGGACGGAGAAGGCUAUGUUGGCCGGGCGACGGUUGUCCCGGUUUAAGCGUGUAGGCUGGUUUUCCAGGCAAAUCCGGAAAAUCAAGGCUGAGGCGUGAUGACGAG
This 1151-nucleotide ribosomal RNA is filed under the name Escherichia coli. RNAcentral describes it as "partial 23S ribosomal RNA". It matches the Rfam family "Bacterial large subunit ribosomal RNA", at positions 419 to 1573 of the family's 2925-position model. The record is from RNAcentral. Lineage: Bacteria; Pseudomonadati; Pseudomonadota; Gammaproteobacteria; Enterobacterales; Enterobacteriaceae.